RNAcentral lists this long non-coding RNA (245 nucleotides) under Gossypium barbadense (sea-island cotton). RNAcentral describes it as "long non-coding RNA (GBAR_LNC009070)". Lineage: Eukaryota; Viridiplantae; Streptophyta; Magnoliopsida; Malvales; Malvaceae. The record is from RNAcentral.
CCAAAAUUAAUCAAUCUCAAAAUUUAGCUUUCAUCACUUUAAUUAACUACUACUUAUUCUUCCAAAACCUCAAAUACAAGGUAUUUAGCACCUAUACACUUAUACCGAAUUAGCAAGCACAUAUGAUCCUUGGUCGAAUGUCAUUAAACACAAGUCAUCAAAAUCUUAUUAUUUAACAUCUUAUAUAUUAUUAGAUAAAUGGAUUAAUUAUACAUAUAUAUACUACCAAAGCCGAACAUAAAAAU